Molecule: long non-coding RNA, 6395 nt
Filed under: Physcomitrium patens
Lineage: Eukaryota; Viridiplantae; Streptophyta; Bryopsida; Funariales; Funariaceae
Description: long non-coding RNA (PPAT_LNC000814)
Source: RNAcentral
UACUAGUUCGGUUUCAUUGGAGGUUUUUUGAAGAUCAAGGAGAUUGGAGAGGAGCUUCAUGCUUUGGGUCGGGGAAGAAAAGACGGAGAAUUGGAUUUUUCUUCUUCAUAGAGUUUUAGGAAGACUGAGGCGAUCGUUGCUGAAGUCAGUGUUGUAAUGGUGAAUCGGGAUUUUUUAAUGAAGUGGGUUUGAUUACUCUUGAUUGUUUUGUGAAAUCGAGUUACGUCUGUGAUUGAAGGAUUAAAAGGGUGUCUAUAGGAUUGAGUAUGUGGAGUGAAUGAAAUUUAUUGGGUUAAUCUAACAAGACAGUCAGUGGAUACAAGAUCGUAAGUACAAAGCGGUAUCAGAGAUUAGCAGAUUGGGUUGUUCAGGGUUCUUUGUAACGUCUACAGACCUAUAGGCUGGGGCAAAAAGGACUUCGACAAGCAGUCGAAGGGCAUCUGUAUAGAUUUAUGGUAUAUUCUUGAUGUCGUUUAUAUUCCAACAGUCAAAAACUGAUAGACUGCUUGAUUAUUGGCGAAUCUCCAUACUACUUUCUACAGCCAAAUGCCCGACGCAUUCUCGAGCAGGAAAGCACGUAAUAUGACAAAAGUGGUCAACCCGACGUGAAAGCUUGAGGUGGAAGGUAUUGGAUUUCGGUUGAUUUUAUCUUUAUUUUAUGGAAAACGAAUAUAAAAAUUUUGAAGGAUUUUUAGGAGGAGUUUCUGGUGGGGAUUCUUCUAAAGGAUAAGAUAUUCACAUGGAUCCGUCUAUUGCUAGUAUGUUUCAAGCGUUCUCAUUGUCAAUGCAGCAAUAGCAAAGCAAUGAUCGAAAGGAAGCUUUGGCAACCAAAGCAUUGCAAGCAGUGGUCAAUAAAAUUGAUCAAUUUGAUAGGAGGAGUAUUUCAAGGUAUUUAAGCUGUUAUAUUCGUGAAAUGGAAUUAAAUCGGGUUUCUGAGAAGAAAAUGGUUGCACUAUUUGGACUUGCCACGAUACCGGAGAUAAGAAACCACAUUACAUCGAUUACGGAUCGUUAUGGGAAUUCAUGGGAGGUUUUUUCACAUGCAUUGAAAGACGAAUAAUUCUUGGAAGAUGCUGAUCGCGUUACUAAGAAGCUGUUUCUGGAAUGGAUUGAACGGCCCAAUAAGAAUUUGCAAGCAACAGAGCUACUAAGGGAAUUUGAGAGGCAGUACUCUCAAUUACCGAAGGUAGAAAAAUUGACAUUGGAGCCGAACAAAGUUGAUCUAUUUCUUCAAGCUGCUGAUGGAGAAUUGCAAGGAAAAUUAGAACUUCUUCUUGAAGACAAAGAAGAAGAUGAAGGAUUGACAACAAAGUGGAAGAACGUUGAAGAUGCGGUGGAGUUGCUUACAAAAAAAGAAAGGAGGAAGGAUAGGAGCAAUAUUCCAAAAACAGUACAAGCACCCAAAGCUCUAGUACGUACAACACCACCAACAAUGCCUACAGUUCAACCUUCGACAUCCUUAUCAAAGAAAGCAGAUAUGGAGAUGGAAGAAAUUAUACGAGGAAUGCGAGAUCUUCAAAUCAAAUUGGCAAGUUUUGAAGAGAAUACUUCUACAAACAAUUCGAAGAAUGUUUCAAAACAAGGAUAUGUACAAAAAUGCAUUUGGUGUGAUGAUGCUUCACACACUAGGAAAGAUUGCAAUGAAUUUAAUAAUAUGAUACGACAAGGAAUUAUUUGCUGGAAAGAUGGGAAGAUAGCAUUAAAAAGAUAGGAAAGAUCUUUUUCAAACUAAUUUUGGCAAGGGAGGAAUGAGAGCAUUGGUUCAAGAUUUCUUAAAAGAGCAUGAAACAGCAACACGAAAAAGUGCAAGUUAUGGUGCUAGAGUAGAUGAUGACCUUGGUGGAAGUACGGAAACUAGUGAGUUUUGGGCUUCUGCCGUUUCUACAAUGCAAGAAGGGAAAUUACCUCGAGAAGCGUUAUUGAGGACUGCAGCUAUAAUACGAGGUAGAACAGGUUGGGAUGAUCCUGUUGAGUCUCUUUCUGUUCAUGCAUAUAUUGCUAAGAGCCAACAUGAAGCUUUGAUGGAAGAAAAGAGACGAGGAAAUUUUGAUGAUACUAGAGAAGGAAAUUCUUCUAAGAGGCAAACUCGAGGAGACUAGGUUCGGGAGGCAGCUUCACAAGAAUUGCCUGUAAAGGAUACCUCAGCAUCAUUGGGAGAAAAUACAAAGGAGACAAAAGAUAAGGACAAAUCAAUUGCUUAUAAGCUACUUUCUGACAUUGAAGCAGCAACAAAUUUAAAAGGGGUGUUGGAAGAACGUAUAUUAAACGCUAAGGUGGAAUUCACAUUGAAAGAAGUCUUGGGAAUUGCAAAGAAGGAGUUUCAUGAUGUUAUCAUUGACAGCAUUAAGCGAAAGAAGCAAUUGAUGGGCAAAACUGGAAUGAGUCAUGGUAUUGAUACAAGAAUAUGUAAAGAUGAAGAAGAGGUUGAUAUUGGUUACAAGCAACCAACAAAUGAAAAGAAUGGGUAUAAUCAACGAGUAUAUUUUGAAGAUUCUAGUGACAAGGAAAUAGAAACUUUGAGCCAUUAUACUCGAAAGCAUUAGGCAAGGGCAACUACUGAGGUAUUGGUGAAAGUAGGAGAUAUAGAAGAACCAAUUAUUGCUUUAGUCGACCAUGGUUCUGAAAUAAAUCUCAUGUCUAAAGAUCUUUAUAAGAAGCAAAAAUGGCCAAUUGAUAUGGAACAUGGAUGGGCAAUUCGAGCGGCUAAUAACACACGGGGCGAAUUAUAUGGAGCUUGUCCAGAUGUCAAAAUUUAGAUUGGGGAUGUUGCAACGGAGCAACAUUUCUUUGUUCAAGAUACAACGUCUUAUCCGUUGAUUUUAGGACAACCUUAUAUUAUGGCAACACGGAUGGAAACAAAAGUAUUUGAUGAUGGUUCUACUUAUGCAAGGGUACGUAGCAAAGAUGGAAGGAAAGCUGUACAAUUUCUAACAGUACCUCUUAACCAUGAACGGAAUCGAAAUACGUUGAGGGAGAAACCAUUGCCAAAGAUUGUUGAAGGAUUUAAGGAUUUUGGAGAGAUACCUCUAUAAAGCAAGAUUAUGGAGGUACAAAAGAGGAGGUACUCUUGUAAGAUGAAGGUGCCUUUGAUGCGAGUUUUAUUGAUAUAUUGGAGAAUGGAAAUAUUAUGUAUAAGAAAGUUGAUGAUUUUAAAAGAAAAGAAAGAAAAAGAUUAUAUAAUAUUGAAGGACAAUUAUGCAAGUUAGGUACAUUGCAAGAUGAUGAGAGGAUUUUAGGUGUUUAUGAUGAAAAUGGACUAGAAGAUUCAUUGGAAUUGAUUACAUCUAUUGGGUUAGGGGAUAAUGAUAAGAUUGUUGAGAUUCAUUCAAGAGAGGUUUAUACCAUACUUGAAUCUUUUCAAGCACCAGAAGUCACUGUAGAGACGAGAUAUAAAAUGACAGAUAAGAAGGUAAAGCCUGUUGCCGGACCAUUACCAGAAGUUUCUAAAGAACAAAUGGGAGAAGCAUCAAAAGAAACAAGUUUAAGAAAUCCAAUGAGUAUUGGACAUUAGUUUACUAAAGAGACUUUUGAAGAAUUGAAGAUUGGUUCUGAUGGUUCUUUAUUGCCGGAGGAAAUUACUUGCUUCAAAAAGAUGUUGGCUAAACAAGGUAGAUCGUUUGCUUUUGAAUCUCAUGAAAUUGGGUGUGUGGAUCCAAAUAUUAUUACACCUAUGGUUAUCUUCACUGUACCGCAUGUACCUUGGAAUCUAAGACCGAUUCUAGUACCGAGGACACAUUUACCUAAAUUGGUGGAACUAUUAAAAGAAAAGAUAAAGAUGAAAAUAUUGGAACCCUCAUUUGCGUUGUACUCUAAUCGAUGGUUUACGGUACCUAAGAAGAAUGGGUCACUACAGUUUAUUCAAGAUAUGCAACCGGUGAAUGCAGUGACUGUCAAGAAUGCAGGAAUUGGACCUAUUGUGGAUGAAUUUGCUGAGGCGUUUGCUGGAAGGGCGAUCUAUGGAAAGUCAAUGGGUGACUUGUGUUCAAGUUAUGAUCAAUUUCAACUUGCCGAAAGAAGUAGAGAUAUGACAACAAUGAGGACACCACUUGGAUUGGUUAGAAUGUGCACUCUUCCUCAAGGCGCGACCAAUUCAGUUGCGCAUAUGAUGAAUGGGAUGAAUAAGGUAUUGAGAGAUUUUAUUCCGGAAAAAACUAUGCCUUUUUUGGAUGAUGUUCCUAUAAAAGGGUGUAGAGAAGGAGACAAGGAUGAAACUUUAGAUACAAGGGGGUGCCGCAAAUAUGUUGUUGAUCAUAUACAAGAUUGUGAAAAGAUUUUAACUCGGCUUGGAGAAGUUCAUCUUACAUUAUCGGAUAUGAAGUCCGUAUUUGGAGUGCGAGAGGUUGUAAUUGUUGGACAUUUAUGUGGAUCUUACGGAAGAAAACCAGAUCCGACUAAAGUUGAUGCAAUUGGAAGGAUGAAAGAGGAUUGUGAUUCUUUAACAGAGGUUCGCAGGUUUUUGGGUGCAUGUGUAUUUUAUCGAAUUUGGAUCCCUCAUUUUACUCACAUAGCGGAUCCAUUAUAUGAACUGUUACGCAAGGGUUACCGAUUUAAAUGAGAAGAAAGGCAUAUUCAGGCAAUGCAAAGAUUGAAGAAAUUAUUGAUGUCACCUCCAAUAUUGAGGAAGGUUGAUUAUAAGUGCAAUAGACCAGUGAUUCUUACUGUGGACGCUAGUCCAAUUGCCAUUGGAUGGGCUGUGGGUCAAGAUGAUUCAAAUGGGAAUAGAUUUGCAGUUCGAUUUGGGGCUAAAGUUUUAAGUAUUCGUCAGCGUGCAUAUUCGCAAGUCAAAAGAGAACUUUGGGGAGUCGUUUCGGCUAUGAAAGCGGAAAAGGACUAUUUGAUUGGGGCAGUAGUAGUAAUUGAAACAGAUUGCUUGCCAUUGCUUGGAAUGAUUAUUAACUGUUCAACGCCAGAUAUUGCAAUAUUGAGAUGGAUUGCUUAUAUUAAGUCACUAAAUCCAGAAUUUAAGCAUAUUACUAGAAAAGAUAAUUUAGUAGCAGACAUGCUAUCUAGAGCAAGAUACGAGAGGGAGGACAAAAUGAUUGAGGACAUUGAUGAUGUUGGAUUGAAAUUCUAUUCAAUAUCAAAUCUUAACAGGGAAGACAAGCUAUUUCUUGAAGAAUCUUAUGAAGGAGAAUUAUUGGAUAUUGGUCAUUACUUGAAUACCUUGACUAAGCAGGGAAAUUGGUCUACAGAAAAUUUCAAACAAAUAAGAAAAAAAGCAUAUGGAUUUUUACUUUGAGAUGGAUUCUUAUGGAAGAGACCGAAGAAAGGAAUUGGGAUGCCACGACGAGUGAUAGGCAAAAACGAAGAAAAACUAAAAUUAUUAAAGGAGUUUCAUGAUAAUUUAUGGACAGGGCAUAGAGAAAUCUGGGCUACUUUUGCUAAACUCAAGGAACGAUAUUGGUGGAAAAAUAUGUAUCGAGAUGUGCUCUCAUUUGUAGAGUCAUGUGAAAUCUGUCAAUCGUAUUCUAAUAUCCGACAUCGAGAUGGUCUUCAUCCUACGUAUCCUCUGGCUAUUCAUUUUAAAUGGGUUGUUGAUUUGGUUAUUAUGCCAGUUGGGUUAUGGCAGAUGAGAUAUUUGGUUUUAGCUCGUGAAGAUUUAUCAAAUCAAGUAGAAGGAAGAGCAUUGAGGACAAAAUCUACAUAGGGGAUUUGUAGGUUUUUGCUUGAAGAUGUCAUUUGCCGCUACGGAUGCGUAGGAAAAAUCACUACAGAUCGUGGAGAAUUAAAUGCACAAGAAGCUCGUAAGUUCUUUGAAAAAUGUGGAGUUAAACUAUCAUUGACUACUGCUUAUAAUCCAGAAGGGAAUGCAAAAAAGUAAGUACCUUUUCUUAAAUCGACAUAAAAAGGGCCUUAGUCAAUCUGACAUGAACGACCAAUUUGAUCCAAUAUGAGAUCUGAAUUGGUUGGGCGACUCAAUGUGGUCCCGAUUACGGGACUCCGAUUUCGUUUCAAGCUGUUCCGUCCUUUAUGCCGUUCUGGGAACGUCCUUUCGAUAAAAGGAUUUCUUAAAGGUAAAAACAAAGGAGAAAGCUCUGACGGUGAGAGCCAGUUUUGGAUCUAAGCUCUGAUGGUAGGAGCCAAUUUCGGAUCCAAGACGGAAGAUUGAAGAAAUUCAGAAUUAAGGUUAAGAAAUGAGAGGGGGAGAGAGGAAGUUUUAGAAGGGAUUUUGAGGGAUGGGAGAGCUAGCUUCAUGCUUCGGGAAGGAGAAAAAAGACAGAGAAUUGGUUUUUUUUUCUUCAUAGGGUUUUGGGAAGACUGAGGCAAUCGUUGCUGAAGUCAGUGUUGUAAUGGUGAAUCGGGAUUUUUAAUGAAGUGGAUUUGAUUACUCUUGACUGUUUUGUGAAAUCGAGUUAUGUCUGUGAUUGAAGAAUUAAAAGGGUGUCUAUAGGAUU